Molecule: ribosomal RNA, 306 nt
Filed under: uncultured bacterium
Lineage: Bacteria
Description: bacterial SSU rRNA
Rfam family: Bacterial small subunit ribosomal RNA
Source: RNAcentral
GUGCCAGCAGCCGCGGUAAGUACGGAGGGGUGCGAGCGUUAAUCGGAAGUUACUGGGCGUAAAGCGCAUGCAGGUGGUUUGGUUUAAGUUCAGAUGUGAAAGACCCGGGGCGUCAACCUACCGGAAUAAGCAUUUGUAAACUAGGCAGACUAGAGUACUGUAGAGGGGGGUAGGAAUUUCAGGUGUAGCGGUGAAAUAGCGUAGAGAUCUGAAGGAAUACCGGUGGCGAAGGCGGCCCCCUCGGACAGAUACUGACACUCAGAUGCGAAAGCGUGGGGAGCAAACAGGAUUAGAUACCCCUGGUAG